Molecule: non-coding RNA, 93 nt
Organism: Mucidula mucida
Lineage: Eukaryota; Fungi; Basidiomycota; Agaricomycetes; Agaricales; Physalacriaceae
Source: the annotation of a GenBank genome assembly
GGCAACUUGGCCGAGUGGUUAAGGCGCUAGAAUCAGGCCAUUGUGUGUCUAAUCUAGUUCGAAAGAGCGUGAGUUCGAGUCUCACAGUUGUCA